GACGAACGCUGGCGGCGUGCUUAAUACAUGCAAGUCGAGGGACGAAACCGAGAUGGGCAACCAUCGAGGCUGAAACCGGCGAACGGGUGAGUAACACGUGGGUAACGCACCCCAGACACAGGAACAACAACGGGAAACCGUUGCUAAUGCCUGAUAACCCCUGCUUGCCGCAUGGCGGGCAGGGCAAAAGCUCCGGCGGUCUGGGACCGGCCCGCGUCCUAUCAGCUUGUUGGUGGGAAUGGCCUACCAAGGCGAUGACGGUAGCUGGCGUGAGAGCGUGACCAGCCACACUGGGACUGAGACAC
This 305-nucleotide ribosomal RNA is filed under the name uncultured bacterium. Its description in RNAcentral is "bacterial SSU rRNA". It matches the Rfam family "Bacterial small subunit ribosomal RNA", at positions 28 to 327 of the family's 1533-position model. The record is from RNAcentral.